This 1426-nucleotide ribosomal RNA is filed under the name Cenchreini gen. sp. 1 BWB-2020. Its description in RNAcentral is "SSU rRNA". It matches the Rfam family "Eukaryotic small subunit ribosomal RNA", at positions 346 to 1683 of the family's 1831-position model. Lineage: Eukaryota; Metazoa; Arthropoda; Insecta; Hemiptera; Derbidae. The record is from RNAcentral.
CUGACUGUACGGGUACGGGGAUCAGGGUUCGAUUCCGGAGAGGGAGCCUGAGAAACGGCUACCACAUCCAAGGAAGGCAGCAGGCGCGCAAAUUACCCACUCCCGGCACGGGGAGGUAGUGACGAAAAAUAACGAUACGGGACUCAUCCGAGGCCCCGUAAUCGGAAUGAGUAUACUCUAAAUCCUUAUACGAGUAUCAAUUGGAGGGCAAGUCUGGUGCCAGCAGCCGCGGUAAUUCCAGCUCCAAUAGCGUAUAUUAAAGUUGUUGCGGUUAAAAAGCUCGUAGUUGGAUCUGUGUCCCGCACCGUCGGUUCACCGCCUGUCGGUGUUCAACUGGCGUGUAUGUGGGACGUCAUGCCGGUGGCUGUCCGGUUCCCCGUGGGAUCGUAGGGUUCGUCCUGGCCUAGCCAGCGGCGUCCUGAAGGCUCGCGUGGUGUAUCCGCCAGCCUUUUCAAUCCCGUCGCGGUGCUCUUAAACGAGUGUCGUGGCGGGCCGGCACGUUUACUUUGAACAAAUUAAAGUGCUUUAAGCAGGCCCUGUCCCGCCUGUAUGUUUUGUGCAUGGAAUAAUGGAAUAGGACCUCGGUUCUAUUUUGUUGGUUUUAGGAAUCUGAGGUAAUGAUCAAUGGGGACAGGCGGGGGCAUUCGUAUUGCGACGUUAGAGGUGAAAUUCUUGGAUCGUCGCAAGACGGACCGAAGCGAAAGCAUUUGCCAAGUAUGUUCUCGUCGAUCAAGAACGAAAGUUAGAGGCUCGAAGGCGAUCAGAUACCGCCCUAGUUCUAACCAUAAACUAUGCCUGCCAGCGAUCCGCCGAAGUUCCUCCGAUGACUCGGCGGGCAGCUUACGGGAAACCAAAGCUUUUGGGUUCCGGGGGAAGUAUGGUUGCAAAGCUGAAACUUAAAGGAAUUGACGGAAGGGCACCACCAGGAGUGGAGCCUGCGGCUUAAUUUGACUCAACACGGGAAAACUCACCAGGCCCGGACACCGGAAGGAUUGACAGAUUGAGAGCUCUUUCUUGAUUCGGUGGGUGGUGGUGCAUGGCCGUUCUUAGUUCGUGGAGCGAUUUGUCUGGUUAAUUCCGAUAACCGAGCGAGACUCUAGCCUACUAACUAGGCGUACCCGGUAUCCACAAUCGUGCUACCGGCGAUCAAUUUUCUUCUUAGAGGGACAGGCGGCUUCUAGCCGCACGAGACUGAGCAAUAACAGGUCUGUGAUGCCCUUAGAUGUCCUGGGCCGCACGCGCGCUACACUGAAGGAAUCAGCGUGUCUUCCCUGUCCGAAUGGACCGGGUAACCCGUUGAACCUCCUUUGUGCUAGGGAUUGGGGCUUGCAAUUGUUCCCCAUGAACGAGGAAUUCCCAGUAAGCGCGAGUCAUAAGCUCGCGUUGAUUACGUCCCUGCCCUUUGUACACACCGCCCGUCGCUACU